Long non-coding RNA from Panthera uncia (snow leopard), 771 nucleotides. RefSeq lists it as uncharacterized. Lineage: Eukaryota; Metazoa; Chordata; Mammalia; Carnivora; Felidae. The transcript is spliced from 3 exons. The record is from RefSeq and is a predicted model, not a curated record.
AGCACAAUCGGCGCGAAGGGCAGAGGUCAGCCCCCCUCCCCCCGCCUCCCCUGCCCUCCAGCCUUUCUGAAGCAUCCGCGCCUUUGGACUGAUAGCGGACUGUACGGACGUUCAGGCCGAUCCAGACGUACAGGUUGUCAAAAUACUGAAGUGUUUCUUAACAGACUCUCCGUGCGUCUAUGACCCCCCGCCUCCGCGAGUCUCCCAAGUGCCACCAUCACCCCAGCCCCGUCCUAGGACUUCUGGAUCUCCCCACAAUCCAGCCCCCAAAGAGUUCACGUUGGCUCUGGCUAUGCUUUUGCCAGAACAGAUGCGAUGCUCAGGAGAGCAGAGAGGAGUGUUGGCAACCCCCUGAUGUGGCAGCCAGGAAGACCUGGGUUUGAAUCCCGACCCUGCCCCCCACCCCACCCCCAGCUGUGUGACUUUAAGCGAGUAGGAAGCCUCUCUGAACUUGUGUUCCCUCUUCUGUGAAAUGGAAGUCGUGAGGGAACAUCACCUGUCGGGCUGUGGUGAGGACAAGGGAAUAGAAACGAGCCAAUAUACAUAAAGAGCCGAAGGGGCGCCUGGGUGGCUCAGUCCGUUGCGCAUCUGAUUCUUUUUUUUUUUUAAUUUUUUUUAACGUUUAUUUAUUUUUGAGACAGGGAGAGACAGAGCAUGAACAGGGGAGGGGCAGAGAGAGAGGGAGACACAGAAUCUGAAACGGGCUCCAGGCUCCGAGCUGUCAGCACAGAGCCCGACGCGGGGCUCGAACUCACGGACCGCGAGAUCAUG